Molecule: non-coding RNA, 98 nt
Organism: Mycena albidolilacea
Lineage: Eukaryota; Fungi; Basidiomycota; Agaricomycetes; Agaricales; Mycenaceae
Source: the annotation of a GenBank genome assembly
GCCCGGAUGGUCUAGUCGUAUGAUUCCUUGUUAGGGUCUGUGGCCUGAGUGGUCAUGUGACUUCGAGGAGGUCCCGCGUUCAAUUCGCGGUUCGGGCC